UUACAUGUUCUAACAACUGUACUCUUUAUUUCCAAAUGGUCUUUUAAGACAUUCUUCACAAUUGCUUUGAUACAAAUAAUUUUCUUUCUGCUUCUGCAAGACAGCAAGUAAAAUAAUAGCUUUUUUUUUUUUUUUUUUUUUUUUUUUGGUGAUAAGAGCAUCUAAAAGGGCAAAAGCUGUUCUUUUUAGUGAAACUGACCUCUUAAUGAGUAAAAACAAAAAGACCAUUUAUUGUAAGUGAUCCUCUGCCAACAGCCCCCAUGCCUGUUACCAAUUUCAAACACUUUAUGUUCCCCCUCCAGAAAAGCUUUGUACUGUUUCCCACUCAUUAGAAGAUGGCUAUUGUAAAUAGCACUUCCAACAUUAAUAUUAAAUACAGAAAGAAAUACGUUCAAACCAGGUUAUGGCUGUAAGGCAAACUGACAAAAGCCAGGAAAUUCAUAAGUUAAAUUCAGUCUGCUCAGGCUGUUGUGAAAACAAACACGGUGGAGUUAGCAAGGUGCCCAGGGUCAGUGCAAAGUGCUCGUUUCCUGGCUUUUGUCAGCCAGUGUCAAAACAUCAGCCUUACCUAAACACCAGAUUUGCUGGUUUUAGAAAUGGCCUUGCACUCGGAGACAAGGGAAAGAAGCAGGAGCCCUCCACUCACUGCUGGUGCCAAGCUGCUGGGAAGCUCUUCACCCACCCCAAUCAGCUGUGUCCUCAUGGCUGGGCUGGAGGCUCUGCAGUGAGGCUGUGUGAUGCUGGGCCUCCACCUCAUGAUCAUCACAAGCAUUCCUGGGAGCUGACAGGAAUACAGGGGGUCAGCUGAAUGCAAGCUGAGAGAAAACAGGUAGGCCACACUGCUGCACUGCCUUUGUAUCAAAGGCAGUAAUAGUCACUUUUGAUAUGGUACCACCACACCCAAAAGCAAUGAGGAAGAAUCUUAUCUGAUGAUCUGAUGAGAAGAGAAAGAGGGAGAAGUGAAGACAGCACUGCUGUACAAUGCUCCCUGCCACCAGAGUAGGAAAGAUACCACUGACUGACAACCAGACAGCAUGUGACAGCAGUGGUGAAACAAGCCCAGAGCUAGCCACAGCAUGCAAAUUCUGCUUCCUGGGAAACUGCAUGGUUUUUGAAAAUAUUUUCUUUUAAAAUCAGAACAAGCAUUUGAUGAAAAGCCAGAGCUGCACACUGCCAGUGAUACUUUUCAGGGCACUCACAGACUGCAGCUUUUGUUAUACCUGAUCUGAGGCUGGACUCAGGACCUCCAGGUGAGAGCCCUUACCACUGAGCUACUGGCUGGCUUAAGCAUGCACAAAUUCUCUCUCUUCCUGUUACCUUGCAAUGAGGAGUUAUGCAAAGACAGGCAUCAUACACAUACUCUGUUCUUAAAGUCUUUCUGUGGGCAUCUAGUUCCAACCACUGGCAGAAAACAGGAUCUUUGGUCUGGUCCAGUAAAGUCAGAUUUAUGGUCUUCCCCAUUUCAUCCUCCCCCUUUUUCCGUCACCCUCUUCUGAAGUCUCAGGCCUCGUGAGAAACAUUUCCCAGCUGAUUCAAGACAGCUGAUAAGUUUCUCAGAAAAAAAAAAAAAAAAAUCUUUUUCAACAUAUCAGUGUCUUGUUUCUCAAGACAGGAAAAUUUUCCAACUCAGCCUUAGUAGGAAAGUCCUCUGAGAAAGGCAGAAGUUUAUCCUUACACUUUUCUGAUACCAUUCAGCCUGUCAUGCAAAUAAAG
RNAcentral lists this long non-coding RNA (1713 nucleotides) under Anas platyrhynchos platyrhynchos (common mallard). Its description in RNAcentral is "lncRNA (ENSAPLG00000026630.1)". Lineage: Eukaryota; Metazoa; Chordata; Aves; Anseriformes; Anatidae. The record is from RNAcentral.